UGGAGUUGAUGGUAUAGAAAUCGUUACGGACUAAAAUUUCAAAUUCCUCCAAUUGAAGGUGAGUGCAUAUCAACUAUUUUGAAGCUACUGCAAUUUAUUUAUUUUUCCAGCCAAGGUUUUGUUACUUGUCUCAAGCUUACGCUAUUAAUUUUUGUGAUUGUUUUAAUGCGUUAUCCUAAAGUCGUUUUUGAUAAUAUUGUAGUGAGCCAUGGAAACCUCUCUUCUCUUCUACUAUCACAGAUAUACUGAAAAUCUCCCUCUUUUUUGCAUUUGUUAUAGGCCAUGUUUUUGGGAGGUAGAACAUUGAGAUUAUGUCAGGUAUGUCUUUCUCAAAAUCUAUUUCCUUGUUAUACAAAAUUUUGAGGCUAUUGCCUUUGGUAUGUCACAUCGUAGUCCUUCUAGGUAACACUAGGCUUGUGGUUAUCUCUGCAACAUCAUGUCUUUAAGUGUGCAAGAUGCUAUGGCCUGUGGGUUUUGUUUGAUUUCUAAGGCUUACUCAUGUUGAGAUUACAUUGCCAAUCAAGUACUCUCAGGUUGGGCAUCUGAAAUAGUUUAUUGAACCCUGGAUAACAAAAUACUAUGAAAAAGUUUCCACACCUGACAUUGAAAAAACUACAAUUGCACUGUCAAUUGUAAGUAAUUGGGACUCUUGAAUUGUGAUUCUUCAUUGUUGAUCUUACCUUUCCUGUGUGUUGUAAUUCUGAUGACUGAUAGUUGUGAUUUACGUAUUUUAACAAAUCUUUUGGCAUGAGUAGUCUGCUACUGUUGUUUGCUGAUUUUCAAAGUCACAAUUUUCUAAGUAGUCUGCUACUGCAUUCCUUUCUCUGUAUCCUUAUAUCAUGAUUAAUGAUCAACUCAUUGGCUUUAAUCAUAUUAUUUCUUAAACUGCAACAACACCAAUGAAGCAUCUCAUGAAUGAGUAUAUAGACCAUUAGGAUAUUAUAUAGUGAGUAAGAUAUCCAAUAUGCAUGUCAAUUUUUUGUCGUCUAACCAUCUACCGCUAUAUGUGUACAGUGGCAUACUCAUUCAAAUGGUGAGCUUGUUCAAGGAAUGACACACUGAUCCAGAAAGCUGUCACAUUUUGCAUUAGGGAACAAACACUGGCUUAAUUGCCUUAUUUUCUCCAUUGUUGAACGCAUUUUUUCUAUUUUGAUAAUUCAUAGUUUCUUUUACCACUACAAGAUAAGAAAUUGAAUGUAUUAAGAUUGUUUGUUCUUAUUUUAAGUGAAUGACAUUGUUUUCAGUUUG
Molecule: long non-coding RNA, 1248 nt
Filed under: Solanum tuberosum (potato)
Lineage: Eukaryota; Viridiplantae; Streptophyta; Magnoliopsida; Solanales; Solanaceae
Description: long non-coding RNA (STUB_LNC011212)
Source: RNAcentral